Molecule: unclassified non-coding RNA, 972 nt
Filed under: Hevea brasiliensis (rubber tree)
Lineage: Eukaryota; Viridiplantae; Streptophyta; Magnoliopsida; Malpighiales; Euphorbiaceae
Source: RNAcentral
UCUCUCUCUCUCUCUCUCUCUUCGUGUGUUUGUGUGUGUGUGUUUGUGCGAGCAUGCAUGUCAUUGUUUGCAAACUUCGGUUGACUUGCAUGUAAUUUUCAUUUCCACUGAUGCUAAGUACUGCACUUUUAGGAUUUUAGAGAUGGUAGAACUUAGCUUUGGAAAAAUGUUUUAGUCCAACAAUUUUGGAAGCUAAAAAUAUUGGUCCCUCUUGAUUCUCUCAUAUAACACCAGCCCGCCCUUAACUAGACUUUUAAUGAGAAUACUUUUAUGUCUUUGGUGUUUAAUUGCUUCUAACUUAUUGGCAUGUACCCUUGCUCAAGCUUGUGGGUGGUGUUGAUGACUUCUGUAAUGUGCCAUUGCUAUAAUGAUUCUCAUAGUCUUACACUGUUAUCCCUUUUGGUAAAUUGGAAUAAGCACUCUGUGGGCUCUUUGGCAAGCAAAGAUUGUGAUUUUGUACUACUUACUAAAUUAAAAAAUUCUGGAAGGAGUGGAGGUGGUCAAAGAGCGAUGAUUUUGUAUUGUGUGUGCAAUCAUUUGGAGUACUUGCUUAUAGAGUAAUGUUAGAAAUAAGGAACAGUAAUUGCAUUUGCUGUUGCUAUGAGGCUGAUUUGCUUUCUUAGCUUUUCUUCAGGUUUCAGCUUCUAGUCAUAUGGAAGGGCUAUUGCCAUCAACAUUCAAUGUGGUUGAAGGGUUUUACCUUGUUAAUUUUACUGUUGUCCUUUUCCUAUUAUUAAGAGGAUUAAUUUUACUCUUUAUUGCGAUUGUCUUCUUUCUUAUCUCUAAUAAAAUCUCUAUUUUCAUAUAAAAAUUAUUUGUGCUGAUGCCUUACAAUUUACAGGUUCCCUCCACAUCUGCUGUUAUUUUGAAAUUUGAGCUUAUGCAAGCUCCCAUAACAGAGAAUAUAUUUGAGUUGCUAGCAUAUCUGGAUGAUGCUUCUGUUGCAGUCCAUGAAUUUCGAAUUCCUCCUAA